CUCGGUAAAGUAAAAAGUAAGGAAGUCUUAGAUGCCACAGAACUCUUAGAAGGCUCUGUCAUUCUCCUUCGCUUUAUGGCUUUUUUUAUAGUAGGAGUUGUAGCAUUAGUUCUUUAGUCUUAUUUUUUUGCAUUAGUCUUGAGAGAUACGAUGAAUACUAAGUAAGGCUAAGCCUAAGGCAAGCUCUUUAAACCAUGGGGAAGGGAAGCAGUAGGAGUAGCACGUAUCACUCUUUCUAGUCUCUAUUCCCUAUAGGAGCAAUAGACUGCAUUUAAGCGCAAACCCAUUUCUUUCUUAGUCACCGGGCGGAGCGCACCUUUGGUACUUCAGUAGGGCGAGCUGUUUGAUAGUGACUUCUUUCAUUUGCUAGGGCGACGAAAGGCUACUUCAAUCUAGCAAACAGCCGGAAACUCGAGAGGGUCGACUUUGGAAGUGUUCGCCGCUAACCAAAGCGUCACUCCCUCCUUUUGAUUAUGUCGUGAUGCUGACUGAAUCCAAUCCA
Molecule: long non-coding RNA, 502 nt
Filed under: Gossypium barbadense (sea-island cotton)
Lineage: Eukaryota; Viridiplantae; Streptophyta; Magnoliopsida; Malvales; Malvaceae
Description: long non-coding RNA (GBAR_LNC006303)
Source: RNAcentral